AUGGUCACCAGGCUCCUUGGCUGUGUGGUUCUUUGUUUUGUGAGAGCAGAAUACACAGAUGCUGGUGUCACCCAGACACCCAAGCAUGAGGUGACAGAGAAAGGAGAAGCAGUAACCCUGAGGUGUGAGAUAAUUUCGGGCCACACUGCACUUUUCUGGUAUAGACAGACUGUGGUAAGGGGACUGGAAGCACUGAUUUACUUUCGCUACCAGGCUCCUCUAGACAACUCAGGAAUGCCCAAGGAUCGAUUCUCCGCUGAGAUGCCUACUGCAUUAGUCUCCACUCUGAAGAUCCAACCUACAGAACCUGGGGACUCAGCUGUGUAUCUCUGUGCCAGCAGCUUAUCCACAGUGCUGCAGAAUCAUCUCCUCCUCAUGCAGAAACCUACAUGCUUCCUCUUCUCCAUCCAUUUCCUAGCAGUCGUCCUAGGCUCCCCCCAUUACAGGAAGGACUUCAUUUGA
This is a non-coding RNA of Castor canadensis (American beaver), 462 nucleotides long. The record is from the annotation of a RefSeq genome assembly. NCBI's taxonomy places the organism in Eukaryota, Metazoa, Chordata, Mammalia, Rodentia, Castoridae.